UAGGGAAUCUUCGGCAAUGGACGAAAGUCUGACCGAGCAACGCCGCGUGAGUGAAGAAGGUUUUCGGAUCGUAAAACUCUGUUGUUAGAGAAGAACAAGGACGUUAGUAACUGAACGUCCCCUGACGGUAUCUAACCAGAAAGCCACGGCUAACUACGUGCCAGCAGCCGCGGUAAUACGUAGGUGGCAAGCGUUGUCCGGAUUUAUUGGGCGUAAAGCGAGCGCAGGCGGUUUCUUAAGUCUGAUGUGAAAGCCCCCGGCUCAACCGGGGAGGGUCAUUGGAAACUGGGAGACUUGAGUGCAGUAGAGGAGAGUGGAAUUCCAUGUGUAGCGGUGAAAUGCGUAGAUAUAUGGAGGAACACCAGUGGCGAAGGCGGCUCUCUGGUCUGUAACUGACGCUGAGGCUCGAAAGCGUGGGGAGCAAACAGG
RNAcentral lists this ribosomal RNA (429 nucleotides) under Chloroflexota bacterium. RNAcentral describes it as "Chloroflexi bacterium partial 16S ribosomal RNA". It matches the Rfam family "Bacterial small subunit ribosomal RNA", at positions 355 to 776 of the family's 1533-position model. RNAcentral also lists the same sequence under 1 other name. The record is from RNAcentral. Lineage: Bacteria; Bacillati; Chloroflexota.